Molecule: long non-coding RNA, 111 nt
Organism: Acyrthosiphon pisum (pea aphid)
Lineage: Eukaryota; Metazoa; Arthropoda; Insecta; Hemiptera; Aphididae
Exons: 2
Source: RefSeq, a predicted model, not a curated record
AUAAAAUUAACACAAUUCAAAAUAUUCCGUCAGAUGAAAGAUGGAAACAUGCGGAAGCUAGUAUUAAAAUUCAUACAUCUAGUAGAGAUACAAAAGAUUCAAACAUUUCAA